UAUGAACGCUGGCGGCGUGCCUAAUACAUGCAAGUCGAGCGAACGGACGAGAAGCUUGCUUUUCUGAUGUUAGCGGCGGACGGGUGAGUAACACGUGGAUAACCUACCUAUAAGACUGGGAUAACUUCGGGAAACCGGAGCUAAUACCGGAUAAUAUUUUGAACCGCAUGGUUCAAAAGUGAAAGACGGUCUUGCUGUCACUUAUAGAUGGAUCCGCGCUGCAUUAGCUAGUUGGUAAGGUAACGGCUUACCAAGGCAACGAUGCAUAGCCGACCUGAGAGGGUGAUCGGCCACACUGGAACUGAGACACGGUCCAGACUCCUACGGGAGGCAGCAGUAGGGAAUCUUCCGCAAUGGGCGAAAGCCUGACGGAGCAACGCCGCGUGAGUGAUGAAGGUCUUCGGAUCGUAAAACUCUGUUAUUAGGGAAGAACAUAUGUGUAAGUAACUGUGCACAUCUUGACGGUACCUAAUCAGAAAGCCACGGCUAACUACGU
This 496-nucleotide ribosomal RNA is filed under the name uncultured bacterium. RNAcentral's name for it is "partial 16S ribosomal RNA". It matches the Rfam family "Bacterial small subunit ribosomal RNA", at positions 29 to 506 of the family's 1533-position model. The record is from RNAcentral.